UACGUAGGGUGCAAGCGUUGUCCGGAAUUAUUGGGCGUAAAGAGCUCGUAGGCGGUCUGUCGCGUCUGGUGUGAAAAUCCAGGGCUUAACUCUGGACUGGCUUCCGAUACGGGCAGACUAGAGGUAUGCAGGGGAGAACGGAAUUCCUGGUGUAGCGGUGAAAUGCGCAGAUAUCAGGAGGAACACCGGUGGCGAAGGCGGUUCUCUGGGCAUUACCUGACGCUGAGGAGCGAAAGUGUGGGGAGCGAACAGG
Molecule: ribosomal RNA, 253 nt
Filed under: uncultured bacterium
Lineage: Bacteria
Description: partial 16S ribosomal RNA
Rfam family: Bacterial small subunit ribosomal RNA
Source: RNAcentral